Long non-coding RNA from Pezoporus occidentalis (night parrot), 2424 nucleotides. RefSeq lists it as uncharacterized. The transcript is spliced from 2 exons. NCBI's taxonomy places the organism in Eukaryota, Metazoa, Chordata, Aves, Psittaciformes, Psittacidae. The record is from RefSeq and is a predicted model, not a curated record.
UUUCCUGUAUUGUUUGGGGAUGGGUGGGUGUUUUUCUCUCUUGUUUGUUUGUUUGGCCUAGUCUGUGUUUUUUAGACAGGAAUAUUAGACUAAAAUUUAGGAAGUCAGAUGUGCUUAAGGAUUAGAAAUAACAGCAGUGAGAUAAAUGUGCAUUGUCAAAAGAUAAUGGUUAAAACCUUAACUGCUGGCACUAAUCAAUGUCAGGAUGAUUAGGAGCUACUGAUACACUAAUAAUGAAAAAUGUAAAUGAGAUCAUAUUAUGCACAUAUGAGGUACUGUCAGUAGAGAUGGAUGAUUAUCAAUGGCUUUAUUAAGUAGAUUCGGAAGAAUCUACAUCAAAAUGGUGAAGGAGAUUGUUGAAUUUAGAUAAAGAAAACCAGAGGGAACCUGAUUCUAUGUGAAGUGGAAAGAUGCUAUCAGAAGUUGGAAGGAAACUGUUUAAAAGGCCCCAUUUGCAACAAAGAUGAGUAUAAUUUUAAUCUGGAAAUAACAGUGAAGUUUCUAGCUUUGGAAGGAGUGAGAUUGCAGAACAGCUAUCCAGGAGGAACACACAAAACCUGUGUGAAUAUCAAUACAACAUGUAAAGAGAUUUAUUGGGAUUUGCUAACUCUAGAAAUUACUUUAAAAAUUAACUAAAACAAUUCAGGGAAGGUCCUUAGUCAAGCUCUCAAUGCUAGGACAUUUCAAAAUCAAACCUGCCUGCCUCUGCAAAAUUUAUAUUGCCCUUUCCCAUAUGUGUAAUUUCCCCAGCACUCUUGCUCAACACACAGGCACUGGGAUGUCAAGCGGUGUAUGAAGCUGGACACGUAGAAAGAAAAGCUACAUGAGGAAGAUAGUAACCAAGUAACCAGAUAUGGCUGUACAGAAUGGGAUCCUCCUCUGUUGUCUAUCAGAGGAGUUUGACAUGUUGCUGUUUCUAGGAUGGCUCACAGCACUCUCUUUAGUUCUCCCUCUGAAGAACACAAGAAAAAUCUUCUUUCUACUGACAUAAAACAAAUCUCUGUGCUGACACUAGAACACCUUUCACUAACUGAAAUCUAAACAGGCAAAUGGUGGCCUUUGUUUUAAAUUAAAGAAACAGUUAUUGACUCACAAAGCAACUGACCUUACUAAAUUAAGGAUGUUAAAAUGAUAUCUCUUUUUCUAUGUUCAUGCCAUACAAGAUUCUAACAAAUUUGAUAAGAAUUAUAAGGGGAUUUAGGGUGAUUUCAGGUGUCUAUUUUACUUCCUGAUCUUUAUAUAUGAACCAUCGCUAUCUUCUGAUUGUCUGUUUGCAUGCAAGAGAGCUCAUAAAACAUCUUCAGUGAGAAUUAAUUAAAAUUAAUGCAAUUUUAGGUCAGCUUCUUUCUUUUCUGUUUUUAAAGGUAUAUUUCAAAAGGACACCGUCAGCCUAACCUGCCAGCCACAACUGACUGUGCUAUGUCAGGAAUGUUUGCAGAAGCAAGUCUUACAUUAAUUCUUGUAUCACAAUGAUCCAGAUGGAGCAAGAUUACUGGGGUCCAGUCCUAGAAAUGUUGCCACAGGUCGUUGGUUCUCUGGGCUGUCCAUGAGGAUUCAAGAGGUACCAGAAAUUGCAGAGAGAAUGACAAGAUGAUCGGUCUCAGCAAAACUUCAGACUGGGAAAUUCUUCAGGCAUCCAUGACCUCUGCAUUGUUGACUCAGGGGCAGAACAGAUCCUCAGCUGCACCUGUGGCCACUUCACAGGCAAUGAAAAAAACAAAGUACAACUAUAUCCUUUGGCAUCUCUUUCAGAAAACCAGUCCUGGCCAUCUGGAAAAUGGGAUUCCCAUGAGGCAGUGCUAAGAUCAUGUCCUUCCAUGCACACUGGGAGACUUCCUAAUAUAAGGAACUCAACAGUUCUACUGAAACCAAAGCCUGGAGUGCUGGCUGGCUUAAGUCUUCAGGUUGUCACUAUUAACAUCUCAAUACACCACUUUCAAACCUGUCCUACAAACAAACUUGCAGUUUAGCACAAGAAAGAAACCUAUUUCAAGGGUAAAGCUAUUGAUGACAUUUACUGUCACCCCAUGUUAUCAUUUUAAAGGCAUUGGCAAUAUGGAAUAAUCUUGCAGUACACUGCCGAAAAGGUUUUAGAAGACAUCUUUUGUCUCCAAAGAGCUACUUAAAAACCACUGUAAAACACAUUUUGUAACAUGUCAAGUGUCUCCUGUAUAUCAAAUAAUGAUAAAAAUAUUUUUUAUAAUUAUUGUUAGCAGUUCUCUGCAAAUUCUGUAUUAGAGGCAACUAUCUUCUUUUGGCCCUUUGUUCAAUUCCAUCUUUGUUGAUACAGACUGCUGUCCCAUUAUCCUUCAAUGGUAAUUCACACGUAAAACAGAGAUUGGCCAUUGAGAAAGAAACAUAACUUACCAGUAAUUAGUCUUCUUUAUAAAGCAUGGUCUAUAAAUAAAUCUGUCCUACGCCUUA